AACCUUAUGGACCUGCGGGCGUAUACCUGCGGAAGGAUCAUUAAAAAUUUAAUUAUCCCGUUAAAUUAAAUAUGGGUAACAAAUCCAUAUUCAUUUCAUGUGCAUCUAUCGAUUGUAUACUUUGACAGAUUUUUUCUUUCUUGAUUUUCAUUUUCGGAAAGAUGGAGAUCGAAUCUCUCGGGGUCUGUCAAGGUUUUCUGUUUUUCUUUCUUCUAAAUUCCUUAAAUUCCGAAAAAAUUU
This 240-nucleotide unclassified non-coding RNA is filed under the name soil metagenome. RNAcentral describes it as "partial contains 5.8S ribosomal RNA, internal transcribed spacer 2, and large subunit ribosomal RNA". The record is from RNAcentral.